RNAcentral lists this long non-coding RNA (784 nucleotides) under Fukomys damarensis (Damara mole-rat). Its description in RNAcentral is "lncRNA (ENSFDAG00000028440.1)". Lineage: Eukaryota; Metazoa; Chordata; Mammalia; Rodentia; Bathyergidae. The record is from RNAcentral.
AGGCUACAUUACAACAUCUCUAUGACACUCUUCAGACUCCUAUUUUAAAAUAAAUAAAAUUGUGUAAAAUUGUAUGUUGUAAGAAACAAGUGUAACCAGUUGAUUUUUUUAAAUGAGCCAGUUGGUAUUUUUUUAAUGAGAUGUUCUCCUAAAACUUACUGAAUAAUGCCCGUAUAUAACAUGCUAAUACCUGUGAAUUAUACAGGUAAUGAUAUAUAACAAAUGGCUUAAAAUUAAGAUUAUAUUAAAAUGGAAUCAGUCUUUCCAGUGAGGAAUUUAAAGAAAUGAUGUGCAACCACCCUUACGACUCUAAUGCACCUUUGUGUCUUACAAUUUAGUCUUUUCUUUUGUAAUCAAUGCAUUAUACCUGUGUGUUCUCUUUUUUUACAGUUCAGCAGAAGAGCAGUUUCAUUGGCAGUCACAAGAUGGUCAAAAAGAUAUUGAAGAUGAGCUGACCACAGGCUUGGAGCUGGUGGAUUCCUGCAUUCGGUCACUACAGGAGUCAGGAAUACUUGACCCACAGGAUUAUGCGACAGGUGAAAGGCCCAGCCUGCUCUCCCAGAGUGCACUUCAGCUCAAUUCCAAACCUGAAGGGUCUUUCCAGUAUCCGGCCAGCUACCAUAGCAACCAGACUUUGGCCCUGGGUGACACAACCCCCUCCCAGCUCCCACCCCGCAGCGGCGCUCAAGCCCGGGCUGCCGGCCAGAGCUUCAGCCAGGUAGGUGCCUUUGCCGUCUUCUGUCUGAGGGGCUCCAAGGGGGACAGGGACGGGUGAGCAAGGGAC